This 23-nucleotide microRNA is filed under the name Caenorhabditis briggsae. RNAcentral's name for it is "Cbr-Mir-124-P10_5p* (star (passenger))". The record is from RNAcentral. Lineage: Eukaryota; Metazoa; Nematoda; Chromadorea; Rhabditida; Rhabditidae.
ACGGCAUUGGCAGUGACCUUAAU